UGAGGAAUAUUGGGCAAUGCCCGCAAGGGUGACCCAGCAACGCCGCGUGGAGGAUGAAUGUCGUAAGAUUGUAAACUCCUGUUAGAGGGGAAGAAUAGUACCGGUUGGACCGGUAUAUGACUGUACCCUCAGAGAAAGCCCCGGCUAACUACGUGCCAGCAGCCGCGGUAAUACGUAGGGGGCAAGCGUUGUCCGGAUUUACUGGGUGUAGAGGGCGCGCAGGCGGGAUAAAAAGUCAGUGGUGAAAUCCUACAGCUUAACUGUAGAACUGCCUUUGAUACUUGUAUUCUGGAGUUCGGGAGAGAGAGACGGAAUUCCAGGUGUAGGGGGGAAAUACGUAGAUAUCUGGAAGAACACCAGGUGCGAAGGCGGUCUCUUGGUCCGACACUGACGCUGAGGCGCGAAAGCGUGGGGAGCAAACA
Molecule: ribosomal RNA, 422 nt
Filed under: uncultured bacterium
Lineage: Bacteria
Description: bacterial SSU rRNA
Rfam family: Bacterial small subunit ribosomal RNA
Source: RNAcentral